UACGUAGGGGGCAAGCGUUGUCCGGAUUUAUUGGGCGUAAAGAGCGUGUAGGCGGCUUGGCAAGUCCGCUGUGAAAACCCGAGGCUUAACCUCGGGCCUGCAUUCGAUACGGGCUGACUAGAGUUCGGUAGGGGAGACUGGAAUUCCUGGUGUAGCGGUGAAAUGCGCAGAUAUCAGGAGGAACACCGGUGGCGAAGGCGGGUCUCUGGGCCGAUACUGACGCUGAGGAGCGAAAGCGUGGGGAGCGAACAGG
RNAcentral lists this ribosomal RNA (253 nucleotides) under uncultured bacterium. RNAcentral describes it as "partial 16S ribosomal RNA". It matches the Rfam family "Bacterial small subunit ribosomal RNA", at positions 524 to 776 of the family's 1533-position model. The record is from RNAcentral.